AGAAAUAUUAGAUAUAAAUUUCAGGACACUGAUAUAUGAACCACUAUCCAAUUUUUUUUGAAAUAAUGGAAGAAAAAUUUCUGUGGUUAUACACAAGAAGGGACAUAAAUCCAACCAUCAAUGGUGGUUAUACACAUGGAAUGGAAUAGGGAAGGGGGUUCAAUUUAUUGUUUACCAUAAUUUUUUUAUGAAUUCUAAAGGUACUAGUCAAGUACCUUUAGAAUAGUACCUUUAAAAUUCAUAGAAAUAACAAGAAUCUUCAAAAGAAAUGAAAGUCCAAAAAAAAGUUAUUUUUUGCAUAGGGGUAAUAAAAUCUUAGCAAUCCAAAAAAUUAAUUUCCACUGUCCCAUAUGCUUAUAAUCACAACCACAGAAUUACAUGCUUAUGAGAUCUUAAUUGACACUUUAGUUAAAAAAUUAGACUACCUUCAUAAGGCAUGUUGAGAAACUUUCCCUAUUUAUAGGCCUAUAAAUGGAGCUUAGGAGGGGUGGGAAGAAGAGAAUAAACAACUCUCAAUCUCUACUCCACUUUGAAAAGUGAAGAAUGAGUGGUUUACCACCACUGGCCACCUUUCUCUCCUCCACCCUCUCCCCCAAAUGGUAUCAUGGAGGAGCCCAACCCUCCUAGGCCACUGACUUUCAACCUCACAAUAAAUAUAUCAGGUGACUUGCCUAACAGUGAAUACAAAAGAUGAAAACAGAGGGAAGUGUGAUGAGAGGGCCACAAGGGGGACAGUAAGCUUCUUAGAAAAAAUGUUGAUAGUUGGAGGGGAAGAAUAUUGUCAUGAUGAAGGAAUGCUUGUUAAGAGAGAAGCCCGUGCCCUCAAUGGAAAGCUGACUGAAGACUGCUUGUUGGAGAGUGGUCCUUUAACUCUGCUUUGAGCACAGCACACCAGCAGCAUCACUGGAAGAUGCCCACUCUCAAGAUGUGUCUAAGAGACAAGUGGCAGAAACGGAGACUGGAGCAAAGGCCUUACAGUGAUGCUUCAGGACGAAGCACCUCCCUACACACCUCCACGGGCC
This is a non-coding RNA of Sus scrofa (pig), 1022 nucleotides long. Lineage: Eukaryota; Metazoa; Chordata; Mammalia; Artiodactyla; Suidae. The record is from RefSeq and is a predicted model, not a curated record.